AUUGAACGCUGGCGGCAGGCCUAACACAUGCAAGUCGAGCGGAACGGGGGACGGGCGAGUGAUGCCUAUGAGUGGGCCUGCUCGUGGGGGAUAACGACCGAAAACAGGCGCUAAUAACGCAUACGCGCAGAUGAGCGUAGCCCGGAUUAGCUAGUUGGUGGGGUAAGGGCUUACCAAGGCGACGAUCCGUAACUGGUCUGAGAGGAUGAUCAGUCACACUGGAACUGAGACACGGUCCAGACUCCUACGGGAGGCAGCAGUGGGGAAUAUUGCACAAUGGGCGCAAGCCUUAUCCAGCCAUGCCGCGUGUGUGAAGAAGGUCCUCGGAUUGUAAAGCACUUUCAGUUGGGAGGCGUUACCAACAGAAUAAGCACCGGCUAACUCCGUGCCAGCAGCCGCGGUAAUAC
Molecule: ribosomal RNA, 407 nt
Filed under: uncultured bacterium
Lineage: Bacteria
Description: partial 16S ribosomal RNA
Rfam family: Bacterial small subunit ribosomal RNA
Source: RNAcentral